This 476-nucleotide ribosomal RNA is filed under the name Candidatus Scalindua wagneri. RNAcentral's name for it is "bacterial SSU rRNA". It matches the Rfam family "Bacterial small subunit ribosomal RNA", at positions 365 to 832 of the family's 1533-position model. Lineage: Bacteria; Pseudomonadati; Planctomycetota; Candidatus Brocadiia; Candidatus Brocadiales; Candidatus Scalinduaceae. The record is from RNAcentral.
UUCGCAAUGCCCGAAAGGGUGACGAAGCGACGCCGCGUGAGCGAAGAAGGCCCUAGGGUUGUAAAGCUCUGUCAAGGGUUAUGAAGUGUAGAUGGGUUAGUACCUCAUUUAUUUGACAAAGGCCCAAAAGGAAGUCACGGCUAACUCUGUGCCAGCAGCCGCGGUAAUACAGAGGUGGCGAGCGUUGUUCGGUAUUAUUGGGCGUAAAGAGCACGUAGGUGGUUUUGUAAGUCAGGUGUGAAAGCCUUCUGUUCAAAGGAAGAACGGCAUCUGAAACUGCAGAUCUUGAGUGUAGGAGGGGAGAGUGGAACUUCUGGUGGAGCGGUGAAAUGCGUAGAUAUCAGAAGGAACGUCGGCGGCGAAAGCGACUCUCUGGCCUAUUACUGACACUGAGGUGCGAAAGUUAGGGGAGCGAACGGGAUUAGAUACCCCGGUAGUCCUAACCGUAAACGAUGGGCACUAAGUAGAGGGGUUUU